RNAcentral lists this unclassified non-coding RNA (518 nucleotides) under Hevea brasiliensis (rubber tree). The record is from RNAcentral. Lineage: Eukaryota; Viridiplantae; Streptophyta; Magnoliopsida; Malpighiales; Euphorbiaceae.
CCCUUUCGAGACCAUUUGGUCCCGCCGCAAAUUCGAUAUCCUCGGCAAGAAAAGGGGCAAGGGCGAAGAACGCCGUAUCGGCCUCGCACGAUCCCUCGCUAUCGACAAGAGGAAAAAGACGCUGCUGAAGGAGUUCGAGCAAAGCGGGAAGUCUUCGGCGUUUGUCGACAAACGAAUCGGGGAGAAGAAUGAUGAGCUCGGAGAGUUUGAUAAGGCAAUUAUGCGGUCCCAGCGCGAGCGUCAGUUGAAAUUAAGCAAGAAGAGCAAGUAUAACUUAUCAGACGGGGAAGAAGAAGAUUUAGAAAUUCAGGGCUUUGGUCCCCUUCUAGAGCGGGAUGAUUUUGACGAUGAAAUGCUGUCUGAUGAUGAUAAAGAUGAUGCAGAAGCAGAUGAAACAAGAAGGAAGUCAGCCAACUUAAAGCAACUUAAUGAUCAUGAUACACCAAAUCAAGUAGAGCAGGGCAUGGUGGAAGGGGAAGAAAAUAAGCACAAAACCAAGAAGGAAGUAAUGGAGGAGG